This 892-nucleotide long non-coding RNA is filed under the name Homo sapiens (human). RNAcentral's name for it is "LNC_000743". Lineage: Eukaryota; Metazoa; Chordata; Mammalia; Primates; Hominidae. The record is from RNAcentral.
CGCAAUGCGGUGCAGCCGGAUCCUGCUUCGGCCCCAGACCACCGGCUCAGGCCGACUUAGGCGGCUCAGUGUCCGGGUUUCCCCGGGGACCCCCUAACCAGGACAGGGCCUGACCCCGUCUCCCGGCCCAAUCGGCCCGCGCCGACCUGCGCCUGGUGCUCGGGCCCGGCUCCGACUCUGGCUGCCUCCCGCUUCACCCGGACCCGCACCCGCGAGCCGGUCCCGCCGCCUCCAUCCCGCCGGCCUUCCCAGCAGCCCCCGCGCCGCCUUAAAGGUGAAGCCGCUACCUCGGUGGCGUCGGAGGGGGCGAAACACGCUUCUCUUGGCCCGUUCGCUGCCUUAAAGGAGCGCGGGCCGGGCCGGCUCCAGCGGGAGGGGGACGGGGCGGGGCCAUCGAGGCGGGGGCGGUGCGAGGACCCGCCCGGGGCGCAGUUCCCAGGGCCCGCCAGCCCCGAGGGGUGCCCUCGGCCGCAAAAUGCCGCGGGGCCUCAGCGUGUGGAGCUGCUCGGGAGGUCGAACCCGAAGGUACCUAGUGUGGCGCCAUGGCGCCAUCGAGGACGUCGGGAGAAACUGAGGCGCAGGGAGAAGGUUGGGCUUCCUGGAGUACAGAGCGAGGCGCCACUAACUGAGCGCCUACUGCGUGUUGCGCGCUUUGGUGCCCUGGGUUCAUUGACUUAAUGCUCACGAAGACCCGAGAAGUGAGUGCCGCUGUUAUCUGGCUCGCAGAUCUGACCCCAGGCUCCGCAUCCCGGGGUCACAUCCGGUGGGGGAUGCACCGUCUCUGACAGAGGUGGUUCAGCGCCCUUAGCUCAAGCACAUCCGGUGACAGGUAGCUUACUACGUUUGGCUCUGAGACAACUCGGAAGGUUAGCAAAAAUUUCCUCUGAUAGAC